Molecule: ribosomal RNA, 271 nt
Filed under: uncultured bacterium
Lineage: Bacteria
Description: partial 16S ribosomal RNA
Rfam family: Bacterial small subunit ribosomal RNA
Source: RNAcentral
UACGUAGGGUGCAAGCGUUGUUCGAAAUCACUGGGCAUAAAGCGCAUGUAGGCGGCUCGAUAAGUCGAGUGUGAAAGCCCCUGGCUCAACCAGGGAAUGGCAUUCGAAACUAUCGAUCUCGAGGGUGGUAGAGGAGAGUGGAACUCGUAGUGGAGCGGUGAAAUGCGUAGAUAUUACGAGGAACACCGGUGGCGAAAGCGACUCUCUGGACCAUACCUGACGCUGAGAUGCGAAAGCCAGGGGAGCAAACGGGAUUAGAAACCCGUGUAGU